Ictidomys tridecemlineatus (thirteen-lined ground squirrel) is the source of this 2241-nucleotide non-coding RNA. The record is from RefSeq and is a predicted model, not a curated record. Lineage: Eukaryota; Metazoa; Chordata; Mammalia; Rodentia; Sciuridae.
UGGAUGUUUUAAAUGAGGAAACAUGGAAAUCACUGUAUUUGAGAUCCUGGAACAAAUCUAAAGCUGUAGAAACUGUUUCCCUUAAAUGAACUGUACAUGCAAAAGACUGGUAGGGCACCUGCUUCUACCCUGGGACAUGCACAUGGGUCCACAUGGUUCACCAUGGUACAGCCUCCACCUAACUGUAGCCUCUCCUUCAUGCAUGCCCCCAAAGGACACCUUUGGUCUGCUGUCCAAGUACCCCACGUUAUAAGAUGCAGAAGUUAAAACCUCUCCCAUCUCUCAGACAAGAGGAACCCUCCAAAGUUGGCAAGGGGGCUUGAAACUACUCCCAGGAGUGGCUGAAGGCAUUUAUUAAUUUCUGGAGAAUCUUGCCUCAGAAAUCCAAAUCCAUGGGUACUUUCUCCAAUACAUAAAUUCACAAAUUAACAAAAAAGGAUAUGUCUGUUGAAUAAAAAAAAGGAAAGUACUUAGUAGCUACUCAUUGAUUAAGCAAGUCUACAUAUCAACUCACUUGAAUUUUAGAAGCAGACAACCUCCAAAUGGGGACUACCAGCUCCAAGGAGACUGGACACUCAGGUGAUGGGAGCUACUAGCUCUCCCCAAGGAAACACAGCAUGAGACCAUUGCUUUGUGCCCAAGCUGGGAGUUACACCAGGCUCCUUCACGUGGGGUCUGGCAAAAUGCUUCUACCUAGGUCAGUCCCUAACUUGCUGGGUGAUGUCAGGAAAUCCCUGGGCCUCCAUUUCCUGAUCUAUAAUAAGAAGGUGAGCUCGAUUAAUCAGCGAGAUCCCCCUCCCAAGUUCCAUAUUCCAUAUUCAGUAAGGAGCACCCAGAGUGUAACUCAUUCCUCUUGAAUCAACCUCUCUUCCCCCUGCCCAUACCCCUUCCCAACAGAGGCCUGAAGGUGGGUCAGAGUGGUUCCCAAUCAAGUGAGCUAUAAUUAGAGUUGAAAAGCUACUUUCAUUAGGCAAAUGUUCUGGGCUUUUCUGUUAUGACCCUGGCUAUAUUUUUUUAAGUACAGAAUUCAGAACCAGAAAGAAUGGAGCUGGGAGAUAUCUUGCCCAAUCAGGGGCAAACAACAUAGUAGGGGGAAAUGUAAGAACUGGGAGCUGCUGCCACAUCCCUUUUCCUCUCAUCAUAGCCCCCCUCACUUAUACUGUUCUAAUACUAUAAUAUUCUAAUAUCUUACUAUUAUAAAAUGUUGUGUUGUGGCAGAGGUCUUAGAAGCCAACAUAAUAAUAAAAAUAACACCAUCAUUUACUCUGGUACUGACACUUGCACUUUUUCAUGAGAUCCUCACAAUCCCUAUAUGGCAGGUAUCAUUGUACCAUUUGACAGAUGAAAGAAACUGAAGCUCUGGAAAACUGGGCAAUUGGUAUGAGGUCUCACAGGCUAAUGGACCAGACCCACCUAUAUCAGAUACCAAAUCACUAUACUUUAUUGUCUAUAAUUUUUCUGCUAGGGGUGAGGAGUGGGACUCUAUCCUGGGAGCUGGCACAGUCCCAGAAACCUGGUAAGCUAUGGAGAUUGCUAUGGCAACGACAAUUAAAUGGACAGCGGGUUGGCUGCCGGGAUCUCAUUCUGCUGGGAAGCUGUGAGCAAAACUACUAUCAGGCCCUGCUGCCCCAAGUUCUGCCUGACCCUUGAGAUCUCACUCUGGCAGACCUCUUCCAGGAAGCCCUCCCCAGCCAUGGGCCUUGCCUGCCUCUGAUCAAUGUUAACGGGAAGCAGGGAUCCUGGUCCUUGUGCCUCAAAAUACUAAGAGUUCAGGAAUCUUGAUAUCAUGAAAUUCUGGAAUGUUAGAGGUCAGGGCCCAGACAGGAAUGAGAAAUAGGUGUCCUGUCCAACCUCAGAGAGCUUGAAGAGCCUGUCUUUCGUCCCAGAAGGGGGACCUGCCAUGAAUAAGCUGUGUAUCUUUGUGCCAGAUGCCUCUACAUGCAGGCUAGAAGAAACCCAAGGAAUCGGAGUCCACCUACAGAUGGGGAAGAACCUAAGUCGCAGAGAGGAAAGAAGCCGGCCCAGGAAAACCCAGCAAGGCAGGGACAAGAGCCAGCUCCCCUGUCUCUCAGCCCUCGGCCCCCAAGCAGCCCUCUCUGAGCUCUGCACAAGAGGUCAUUGUCAAUACCACUUCUUGAUAAAUCAUAGUCUGCAAUCAUUGUAAAGUGAACACCUGUAUAAGCUGUGGCACUGGGAAAUUCUCCCCCAUAGGAGUUCAGCAUCCAAACAAAGAAGCAAAUA